RNAcentral lists this ribosomal RNA (466 nucleotides) under uncultured bacterium. RNAcentral's name for it is "partial 16S ribosomal RNA". It matches the Rfam family "Bacterial small subunit ribosomal RNA", at positions 29 to 506 of the family's 1533-position model. The record is from RNAcentral.
ACGAACGCUGGCGGCGUGCUUAACCCAUGCAAGUCGCACGGAAAGGCCCUGCUUUUGUGGGGUGCUCGAGUGGCGAACGGGUGAGUAACACGUGAGUAACCUGCCCUUGACUUUGGGAUAACUUCAGGAAACUGGGGCUAAUACCGGAUAGGAGCUCCUGCUGCAUGGUGGGGGUUGGAAAGUUUCGGCGGUUGGGGAUGGACUCGCGGCUUAUCAGCUUGUUGGUGGGGUAGUGGCUUACCAAGGCUUUGACGGGUAGCCGGCCUGAGAGGGUGACCGGCCACAUUGGGACUGAGAUACGGCCCAGACUCCUACGGGAGGCAGCAGUGGGGAAUAUUGCACAAUGGGCGGAAGCCUGAUGCAGCAACGCCGCGUGCGGGAUGACGGCCUUCGGGUUGUAAACCGCUUUCGCCUGUGACGAAGCGUGAGUGACGGUAAUGGGUAAAGAAGCACCGGCUAACUACGU